Molecule: long non-coding RNA, 391 nt
Filed under: Eucalyptus grandis
Lineage: Eukaryota; Viridiplantae; Streptophyta; Magnoliopsida; Myrtales; Myrtaceae
Description: long non-coding RNA (EGRA_LNC007194)
Source: RNAcentral
GAAUUCCUUUGGUAAGUGCCAACGGCUAUGAUGGCAUAAAGGAGUAUAAAAGGAAGACGUUCUAGUUGUUUUAAGUGUGUGAUUGAUAGAAAAAUUCCAGAGUCUGAAGAACCUUGAUUGUUAGUCGAUACAGUUCGAGCAAAAUUGUAUACACAGAGAGUGUUCAUACUUGGUGACACCUUGAGCGAGUGUAGUAGAUCAUCUACACCUAGAAAUCAAGGAAGAUCAACACUGUAACAUCUCUUUGUUCAUAGUGGAAUCCAGCCAAUCGGCUGUCAGUGCAGAAGAGUGGACGUAGGCUUGAAUCAAGCCGAACCACUAUAAACCUUGUGUUUAAUUCUCUCUUCCCUUUACUCAGUCUUACGAUUGAUUUUAUAUUCCUUUAUCUGUC